GACGAACGCUGGCGGCGUGCUUAACACAUGCAAGUCGAACGGAAAGGCCCUGCUUUUGUGGGGUGCUCGAGUGGCGAACGGGUGAGUAACACGUGAGUAACCUGCCCUUGACUUUGGGAUAACUUCAGGAAACUGGGGUUAAUACCGGAUAGGAGCUCCUGCUGCAUGGUGGGGGUUGGAAAGUUUCGGCGGUUGGGGAUGGACUCGCGGCUUAGCAGCUUGUUGGUGGGGUAGUGGCUUACCAAGGCUUUGACGGGUAGCCGGCCUGAGGGGGUGACCGGCCCCAUUGGGUCUGGGAGGCGGCCGACGCCCAUUCGGGGGGAAGGAAGGGGUAUUUUUGCAGCAGGGGCGGGCGCAUGAAGCAGCCACCCCGGUCGUGGGAUGGUGGUCUUCGGUUUGUACGCCGUUUUCGCUUGUCAGGAAGGUUAGUGGCGGUAACUGGGUAAAAAGGCACCGCUAACUACGUG
This 467-nucleotide ribosomal RNA is filed under the name uncultured bacterium. RNAcentral describes it as "partial 16S ribosomal RNA". It matches the Rfam family "Bacterial small subunit ribosomal RNA", at positions 28 to 507 of the family's 1533-position model. The record is from RNAcentral.